Molecule: long non-coding RNA, 1819 nt
Filed under: Podarcis lilfordi (Lilford's wall lizard)
Lineage: Eukaryota; Metazoa; Chordata; Lepidosauria; Squamata; Lacertidae
Source: RNAcentral
GACUCCCUUUAAUAUCUAAAUUCCAAUUAAUUCAGGCAGAAAUCCCACCGGAAAAGCCAAUUUUUCAGGCCAGUUUCAGGCCGCAAUCCACCAGGUUGAGCGCGAUUAUUUCCCUCCAUUUAAUACCUAAAUUCCCAUUGAUUCAGGCAGAAAUCACACCGGUAAAGCCAAUUUUCAGGCAGAAAUCCCACCGGAAAAGCCAAUUUUCAGGCAGAAAUCUCACAGGUAAAGCCAAUUUUCAGGCAGAAAUCUCACCAGAAAAGCCAAUUUUCAGACCCCCUUUAAUCUCUAAAUUCCCAUAAAUUCAGGCAGAAAUCUCACAGGUAAAGCCAAUUGUUCUGACUGCUCUUCAUAGCUAAAUCCCCAUUAAUUCAGGCAGAAAUCUCACAGGUAAAGCCAAUUUUCAGGCUAGUUUGACCGGUUGAAUCGCAGGCCGAAGUCACACAGGUCAAGCUCUAAAUCCCCAUGAAUUCAGGCGGAAAUCUCACAGGUAAAGCCAAUUUUUCAGACUCCCCUGAAUCCCUAAAUCCCCAUGAAUUCAGGCAGAAAUCUCACCGGUAAAGCCAAUUUUCAGGCAGAAAUCUCACUGGUAAAGCCAAUUUUUCAGACUCCCUUUAAUAUCUAAAUUUCCCAUUAAUUCAGGCAGAAAUCUCACUGGUAAAGCCAAUUUUUCAGACUCCCUUUAAUAUCUAAAUUCCCAUUAAUUCAGGCAGAAAUCCCACCGGAAAAGCCAAUUUUUCAGGCCAGUUUCAGGCCGCAAUCCAACAGGUUGAGCGUGAUAAUUGUCCUCCAUUUAAUACCUAAAUUCCCAUUGAUUCAGGCAGAAAUCUCACCGGUAAAGCCAAUUUUCAGGCAGAAAUCCCACCGGAAAAGCCAAUUUUCAGGCAGAAAUCUCACAGGUAAAGCCAAUUUUCAGGCAGAAAUCUCACCAGAAAAGCCAAUUUUUCAGACCCCCCUUUAAUCUCUAAAUUCCCAUAAAUUCAGGCAGAAAUCUCACAGGUAAAGCCAAUUGUUCUGACUGCUCUUCAUAGCUAAAUCCCCAUUAAUUCAGGCAGAAAUCUCACAGGUAAAGCCAAUUUUCAGGCUAGUUUGACCGGUUGAAUCGCAGGCCGAAGUCACACAGGUCAAACUCUAAAUCCCCAUGAAUUCAGGCGGAAAUCUCACAGGUAAAGCCAAUUUUUCGGACUCCCCUGAAUCCCUAAAUCCCCAUGAAUUCAGGCAGAAAUCCCACCGGUAAAGCCAAUUUUCAGGCAGAAAUCUCACAGGUGAAGCCAAUUGUUCAGACUGCUCUUCAUAGCUAAAUCCCCAUUAAUUCAGGCAGAAAUCUCACAGGUAAAGCCAAUUUUCAGGCUAGUUUGACCGGUUGAAUCGCAGGCCGAAGUCACACAGGUCAAGCUCUAAAUCCCCAUGAAUUCAGGCGGAAAUCUCACAGGUAAAGCCAAUUUUUCAGACUCCCCUGAAUCCCUAAAUCCCCAUGAAUUCAGGCAGAAAUCUCACCGGUAAAGCCAAUUUUCAGGCAGAAAUCUCACUGGUAAAGCCAAUUUUCAGGCAGAAAUCCCACCGGAAAAGCCAAUUUUUCAGAUUCCCCUGAAUAACAAUAAAUUCCCAUUAAUUCAGGCAGAAAUCUCACUGGUAAAGCCAAUUUUUCAGACUGCCCUUCAUGUCUAAAUCCCCAUUAAUUCAGGCAGAAAUCUCACAGGUAAAGCCAAUUUUUCAGACUCCCCUGAAUCCCUAAAUCCCCAUUAAUUCAGGCAGAAAUCCCACCGGAAAAGCCAAUUUUUCAGACUCCCCUGAAUCCCUAAAUCCCCAUGAAUUCAGG